GGCCAUACCACCCUGAACGCACCCGAUCUCGUCUGAUCUCAGAAGCUAAGCAGGGUCGGGCCUGGUUAGUACUUGGAUGGGAGACAAAAUAAGGCAGCCAAUUAUA
Molecule: ribosomal RNA, 106 nt
Filed under: Ursus maritimus (polar bear)
Lineage: Eukaryota; Metazoa; Chordata; Mammalia; Carnivora; Ursidae
Source: RNAcentral